UACGUACCGUACGAACGUUAUUCGGAAUUACUGGGCUUAAAGGGUUUGUAGGUGGCCUUGUAAGUCAGGUGUGAAAUCCCUCGGCUCAACCGAGGAACAGCGCUUGAUACUGCAAGGCUUGAGGGAGACAGGGGUAAGCGGAACUGAUGGUGGAGCGGUGAAAUGCGUUGAUAUCAUCAGGAACACCGGUGGCGAAAGCGGCUUACUGGGUCUCUUCUGACGCUGAGGAACGAAAGCUAGGGUAGCGAACGGG
RNAcentral lists this ribosomal RNA (253 nucleotides) under uncultured bacterium. RNAcentral's name for it is "partial 16S ribosomal RNA". It matches the Rfam family "Bacterial small subunit ribosomal RNA", at positions 524 to 776 of the family's 1533-position model. The record is from RNAcentral.